UACCAGCUCUCCGAGUGGUAGGGAUGAUUAUUGGGCUUAAAGCGUCCGUAGCCGGCUUAGCAAGUCUCCUGUUAGAUUCAGCGACCUAAUCGUUAAGCCGCGGGAGAUACUACUAGGCUAGGAGGCGGGAGAGGUCGACGGUACUUGCGGGGUAGGGGUGAAAUCCUAUAAUCCCGGGAAGACCACCAGUGGCGAAGGCUGUCGGCUAGAACGCGCCCGACGGUGAGGGAUGAAAGCUGGGGGAGCGAACCGGAUUAGAUACCCGGGUAGUCCCAGCUGUAAACGAUGCAGGCUAGGUGUUUGGGCGGCCACGUGCCGCUCUAGUGCCGCAGAGAAGUCGUUAAGCCUGCCGCCUGGGGAGUACGGCCGCAAGGCUGGAAACUUAAAGGAAUCGGGCGGGGGAGCACCACAAGGGGUGAAGCUUGCGGUUU
This 431-nucleotide ribosomal RNA is filed under the name uncultured archaeon. RNAcentral's name for it is "bacterial SSU rRNA". It matches the Rfam family "Archaeal small subunit ribosomal RNA", at positions 474 to 903 of the family's 1478-position model. The record is from RNAcentral.